GACGAACGCUGGCGGCGCGCCUAACACAUGCAAGUCGAACGGGGUAUUUUGAGGUGCUUGCACCAUGGAAUACCUAGUGGCGGACGGGUGAGUAACACGUGAGCAACCUGCCUUACAGAGGGGGAUAACGUCUGGAAACGGACGCUAAUACCGCAUAACAUUACCGUAUCGCCUGGUAUGGUAAUCAAAGGAGCAAUCCGCUGUAAGAUGGGCUCGCGCCCGAUUAGAUAGUUGGUGAGGUAACGGCUCACCAAGUCGACGAUCGGUAGCCGGACUGAGAGGUUGAUCGGCCACAUUGGGACUGAGACACGGCCCAGACUCCUACGGGAGGCAGCAGUGGGGGAUAUUGCACAAUGGGGGAAACCCUGAUGCAGCGACGCCGCGUGGGUGAAGACGGCCUUCGGGUUGUAAAGCCCUGUCAACGGGGACGAUAAUGACGGUACCCGUGGAGGAAGCCACGGCUAACUACGUGCCAGCCGCCGCUGUAAAAC
Molecule: ribosomal RNA, 491 nt
Filed under: uncultured bacterium
Lineage: Bacteria
Description: bacterial SSU rRNA
Rfam family: Bacterial small subunit ribosomal RNA
Source: RNAcentral